UUCCUCAGUUAUCUCCCUUUACUGCUUCGCCAAUAGAUGGCGCCAAUCACUACGGUCCUAAGUGUACUUCCGGCUUAAUGAUGGCGUUCAAAGUUUGUUGCACGGUCGAUUUCAAAUGCGCAGCAAUAUUACGAUGCCUGAGAUGUGCUGCCGUGCCUCGGGAUGCUGCAAUAGAAGUUCGACGUGUCCGAGAGGUCAAAACUUGCUGAAUAUGGUGGUUGACUAUCAUUCGAAGUAGCGAUGAAUGAAACAAAAGCAUGACGAGGUAGCUCUCGCUGGUCUCACUCUCAGUGUUGUCAACUUCUGACAGAGUGAUUUCGUUACUGUAACUUAUUAUGGUGCCUGUUGUCCACAAAGAUGAGACCCAGGUGAUUCCAGAAUACACAUGAUACAGGAUGAACAGGUCUGAGGCAACAGAGAAAAACAGAUGCUGUAUGACCAAUUCUUUCCCUGGACUGUAUCAGCUGACCCACUUAAUGCUGGUGGAUACUUGUGAUGUUGAAUGUAACAUCAGUGAGGUCGCUGGGGAGGAAACAGUCACCCAUGAUGAUUUUGAUGGCAAGAAUAUUGAGCCAAACAUUUUCUCUCCAUACUGGGCACAGGCCAAAUAUGAAAGUAACUGUAUAUCAACACAGAGAGACAAACAUGUC
Molecule: long non-coding RNA, 650 nt
Organism: Haliotis rubra (blacklip abalone)
Lineage: Eukaryota; Metazoa; Mollusca; Gastropoda; Lepetellida; Haliotidae
Exons: 3
Source: RefSeq, a predicted model, not a curated record